CCGUAACUAUAACGGUCCUAAGGUAGCGAAAUUCCUUGUCGGGUAAGUUCCGACCUGCACGAAAGGCGCAACGAAUUGGGCGCUGUCUCGACCAUGGACCCGGUGAAAUUCCACUAGUCGUGAAGAUGCGACUUACCCGCGGAAGGACGGAAAGACCCCGUGAACCUUCACUGCAGCUUGGCAUUGGCCGCUGGCCCGUCGCGUAGAGGAUAGGCGGGAGGCUUCGAAGCCCGGGCGCCAGCCCGGGUGGAGCCGACCUUGGAAUACCGCCCUCGGCGCGCCGGCGUCCUAACCCCAUGCCGUCAUCCGGAUGGGGGACCGUGCCAGGUGGGUAGUUUGACUGGGGCGGUCGCCUCCUAAAGGGUAACGGAGGCGCGCGAAGGUCCGCUCGGGACGGUCGGCAACCGUCCUCUUGAGUGCAAGAGCAUAAGCGGGCUUGACUGCGAGGCCUACAAGCCGAGCAGGUGCGAAAGCAGGCUCUAGUGAUCCGGCGGCCCCGCGUGGGUGGGCCGUCGCUCAACGGAUAAAAGGUACUCCGGGGAUAACAGGCUGAUCUUGCCCAAGAGUCCACAUCGACGGCAAGGUUUGGCACCUCGAUGUCGGCUCAUCGCAUCCUGGGGCUGGAGCAGGUCCCAAGGGUACGGCUGUUCGCCGUUUAAAGCGGUACGCGAGCUGGGUUCAGAACGUCGUGAGACAGUUCGGUCCCUAUCCUCCGCGGGCGCAGGAGAAUCGAGGGAGGCUGCCCCUAGUACGAGAGGACCGGGGUGGACGCACCUCUGGUGAACCGGUUGUCGACCAACGGCACGGCCGGGUAGCCACGUGCGGCGCGGAUAACCGCUGAAGGCAUCUAAGCGGGAAGCCGUUCCCGAGAUCAGUUCUCCUUUCGGUAAGGGCCCAGGUAGACUACCUGGUCGAUAGGCCGCAGGUGCAAGCACGGCGACGUGCUCAGCCGAGCGGUACUAAUAGCCCGAGCUCUUACCCGC
This 983-nucleotide ribosomal RNA is filed under the name human gut metagenome. RNAcentral describes it as "bacterial LSU rRNA". It matches the Rfam family "Bacterial large subunit ribosomal RNA", at positions 1934 to 2925 of the family's 2925-position model. The record is from RNAcentral.